Phalacrocorax carbo (great cormorant) is the source of this 2006-nucleotide non-coding RNA. Lineage: Eukaryota; Metazoa; Chordata; Aves; Suliformes; Phalacrocoracidae. The record is from RefSeq and is a predicted model, not a curated record.
GCUCAGCAAUGAAUGGGAAAUCAAAACAUUAAACAGUGCAAACAAGAAGACUAUCCUAUUUUGCAGGAAGUUUAAGAUACUCCAUUCAUCCAGGUCAUCCAUUUUUUAUCCUAUUAAAAGGUGCUGUUAUUUGAGUGCAUUGAAAUGAGAGGUGCAAACCCUCUGUAGAUUCUGGGGUUACCGCUACUUUGGCUGUUCUGCGUUCCAGGAAGGAUUGUCGUGGAGACCUGUGAGCCUGGGACUGAGGAGGACAUGGACUGUACCCGAGGUUUAGCUCAUGAUAUCCAAAGGGUCCUGUUCUCCUGCUAUAUAUUAAGAAUGACUUUCAGGGAAACACCUGGAAGUGCUAACACUGUGGUGACAGAAGAAUGCUGGAAUAAAAGAGGGAAGAAGUUGGAUAUCCUGACAGUUCUGCAGUCCACCAAGUCUGUUGUUUCUCCUCUGUCUUUAUAAUGGCUAUAAAAUAUGAGCUGGGAGUAUGAUGUCAAUGCAUCCAAUUUCAAUAAUUGAUAUGAUGAAUAAUCUCAACCUUCUGACACCUCCUGUAUCUCCUCACAUCUCAGGAAACUUCAUUCAUCAACCACAUUUGAAAUGUUUAAGUAAUCUCAGUGAUGUAUGGAGCACUGAAACUCCCUUGUUAGAAAUCUAUGCUAGUAACAUUCUAUCAAAUUAAAAAGCCACUGAGCUCUUGUGCAUAAAAUUAUCAUAAAUUAUCUCUGAAGGUUCAUUGCUGUUUGGAAUGUUUAAUUGCUCACUCAGCUGAACUUCAGCAGCUCAAGAUUAUUAAUCAAUUUGUCAGAAGGUUUCUCAUAAUGUCGUCUUUCACCCUGCAGUUAUACGCGUGGAAAACCCAUGUGCAAGACAGUUUUAUGCAGGAAGUCAACAGUAGCCAUGCAUACCUUUCACAAUAUUCCUUUCAUAUAUUUAAGAGUAUUUUUGGUUGUUGAUUUCUCACAGAAAAUGGGGAAAUUCUAAUUACGUCAGCCUAAUUUAUUUGGUUGGGAAAAUAGAUUCUCCAAAACAAUAUUUAUAAGUAAGAAUGGAAGCAGAUAAUAAAAAUGGGGACUUUUGAAGUUUUUAAUCCUGGUCUAAUGUUGAUUGUUGUCAUUAAAAUAAACAUUUCUGCUAACUGCAGUAACAGUGAAGAUGUUUCGUAAAUGCCAUGCCUUCGGCGUACGUGAACAGUUUCUUCAGCCAGUUUUCUUACCAGAAAAUGCAUCUUUGCUUUAAAGUAAUUUUUCAUGAAUUUGGCUUUGAUGACAUACAAAAACAAUGUAUUUCAUCUUAAUUGAAAUACAUCUUUCAUUAUUUGUUUUAAAAAUGUCUUUUUUAAAUUUUAAGGGUUAUGAAUUAAUCCUUUUUAUAUGAUUCUCUUCCUUUUGUUUUACAAAUGCAACUGUGUAUGAGAAUUUAGGAGAGGGGUGAUGAUAGUGUUUCCAUUUAUAAAUAUUUUCUCCACCAAAUCUUUUAGGAGUUCUUUCAUGCAACACGAUAGAAAUAGAGGAAUCUGCUUUUCCUGCUGCAGAGAAUUGAAAAGAAUUUGGGAUGUUUUGGACUAAUAUACUUAAGGAUUCUUUAAGCCACUCCAGGUAUUUUCUUAAGCUAAAAAAGUUUCAAAAUAGAAAGAGUGGAAACAUUAAGGACAUUAUCCUCUUUCUUCUACUCCAUUAAUGAAAGUCAUAUUGUUUCCUAUGCAUGUAGAAAGAUAGAAGGUGAAUGUUACAAUAUAGUUGAUAAGUUCCAAGUAUGUAUUUGAUAUUAGGUAUUUAUGCAGUAUAUCACACCGUGGUAUUUCUACCAAAAAUUGAAAAUGAAGGAAAGUAUCAGUAUUUUUUCUUUGACAAACUUCUUUCAUAAAAUUAAAAUAUUGGAAUGAUAAAUACUAUUGUGUGUCUAAGAAAUAUUUCAGGUACCAGAAGUAUGCUGAGAGCUAGCAUUACUCUUUUUUUCCUACAAGUAUUCUCACUGUAAUCUUCAAAGCCUUUCUUAAAACAUAUUAUGUCCAU